RNAcentral lists this ribosomal RNA (253 nucleotides) under uncultured bacterium. RNAcentral describes it as "partial 16S ribosomal RNA". It matches the Rfam family "Bacterial small subunit ribosomal RNA", at positions 524 to 776 of the family's 1533-position model. The record is from RNAcentral.
GACAGAGGAUGCAAGCGUUAUCCGGAAUGAUUGGGCGUAAAGCGUCUGUAGGUGGCUUUUUAAGUCUGCCGUCAAAUCCCAGGGCUUAGCCCUGGACAGGCGGUGGAAACUACCAAGCUGGAGUACGGUAGGGGCAGGGGGAAUUUCCGGUGGAGCGGUGAAAUGCGUAGAGAUCGGAAAGAACACCAACGGCGAAAGCACUCUGCUGGGCCGACACUGACACUGAGAGACGAAAGCUAGGGGAGCGAAUGGG